RNAcentral lists this ribosomal RNA (253 nucleotides) under uncultured bacterium. RNAcentral's name for it is "partial 16S ribosomal RNA". It matches the Rfam family "Bacterial small subunit ribosomal RNA", at positions 524 to 776 of the family's 1533-position model. The record is from RNAcentral.
UACGAAGGGAGCUAGCGUUGUUCGGAAUUACUGGGCGUAAAGGGCGCGUAGGCGGCUUUGUAAGUCAGAUGUGAAAGCCCCAGGCUCAACCUGGGAACUGCAUUUGAUACUGCAAGGCUAGAGAUCGAGAGAGGAAAGUGGAAUUACGAGUGUAGAAGUGAAAUUCGUAGAUAUUCGUAGGAACACCGGUGGCGAAGGCGACUUUCUGGCUCGAUACUGACGCUAAAGCGCGAAAGCGUGGGGAGCAAACAGG